Molecule: ribosomal RNA, 253 nt
Filed under: uncultured bacterium
Lineage: Bacteria
Description: partial 16S ribosomal RNA
Rfam family: Bacterial small subunit ribosomal RNA
Source: RNAcentral
GACGAACCGUGCGAACGUUGUUCGGAAUCACUGGGCUUAAAGGGCGCGUAGGCGGGCUUGCAAGUCUGCGGUGAAGGCCUCCAGCUUAACUGGAGAAGUGCCGUGGAUACUGCGAGCCUCGAGGAGGGUAGGGGCGUCUGGAACGUUGGGUGGAGCGGUGAAAUGCGUUGAUAUCCAACGGAACUCCGGUGGCGAAGGCGAGGCGCUGGACCCUUUCUGACGCUGAGGCGCGAAAGCCAGGGGAGCGAACGGG